This 62-nucleotide transfer RNA is filed under the name Orcula dolium. RNAcentral describes it as "tRNA-Val". The record is from RNAcentral. Lineage: Eukaryota; Metazoa; Mollusca; Gastropoda; Stylommatophora; Orculidae.
CUAAUAAAGUAUACUAAGUACUUAUCUCUUACAUAGAUAAAGAGUCAGCUUUGACUGUUAGA